Molecule: ribosomal RNA, 482 nt
Filed under: uncultured bacterium
Lineage: Bacteria
Description: partial 16S ribosomal RNA
Rfam family: Bacterial small subunit ribosomal RNA
Source: RNAcentral
GACGAACGCUGGCGGCGUGCUUAACACAUGCAAGUCGAACGCUGAAGCUCAGCUUGCUGGGUGGAUGAGUGGCGAACGGGUGAGUAACACGUGAGUAACCUGCCCUCUUCUUUGGGAUAACGCCCGGAAACGGGUGCUAAUACUGGAUAUUCACUGAUUCUCGCAUGGGGGUUGGUGGAAAGGUUUUUUCUGGUGGGGGAUGGGCUCGCGGCCUAUCAGCUUGUUGGUGGGGUGAUGGCCUACCAAGGCUUUGACGGGUAGCCGGCCUGGGAGGGUGACCGGUCACAUUGGGACUGGGAUACGGCCCAGACUCCUACGGGAGGCAGCAGUGGGGAAUAGUGCACAAUGGGCGAAAGCCUGAUGCAGCGACGCCGCGUGAGGGAUGGAGGCCUUCGGGUUGUAAACCUCUUUCGCUCAUGGUCAAGCCGCAGCUUUGGGUUGAGGUGAGGGUAGUGGGUAAAGAAGCGCCGGCUAACUACGUG